GAGUUUGAUCAUGGCUCAGGAUGAACGCUGGCGGCGUGCUUAACACAUGCAAGUCGAACGAACCUUCGGGUUAGUGGCGGACGGGUGAGUAACGCGUGGGAAUCUGCCCCCAGGAGGGGGAUAACGGUUGGAAACGACCGCUAAUACCCCAUAUGCCGAGAGGUGAAAUGAAUUUCGCCUGAGGAUGAGCCCGCGUCUGAUUAGCUUGUUGGUGAGGUAAUGGCUCACCAAGGCAUCGAUCAGUAGCUGGUCUGAGAGGAUGAUCAGCCACACUGGGACUGAGACACGGCCCAGACUCCUACGGGAGGCAGCAGUGGGGAAUUUUCCGCAAUGGGCGAAAGCCUGACGGAGCAACGCCGCGUGAGGGACGAAGGCCUCUGGGCUGUAAACCUCUUUUCUCAAGGAAGAAGAUAUGACGGUACUUGAGGAAUAAGCCACGGCUAAUUCCGUGCCAGCAGCCGCGGUAAUACGGGAGUGGCAAGCGUUAUCCGGAAUUAUUGGGCGUAAAGCGUCCGCAGGCGGCCUUUCAAGUCUGCUGUUAAAACGUGGAGCUUAACUCCAUCAUGGCAGUGGAAACUGAUUGGCUUGAGUAUGGUAGGGGCAGAGGGAAUUCCCGGUGUAGCGGUGAAAUGCGUAGAUAUCGGGAAGAACACCAGUGGCGAAGGCGCUCUGCUGGGCCAUUACUGACGCUCAUGGACGAAAGCCAGGGGAGCGAAAGGGAUUAGAUACCCCUGUAGUCCUGGCCGUAAACGAUGAACACUAGGUGUCGGGGGAAUCGACCCCUUCGGUGUCGUAGCUAACGCGUUAAGUGUUCCGCCUGGGGAGUACGCACGCAAGUGUGAAACUCAAAGGAAUUGACGGGGGCCCGCACAAGCGGUGGAGUAUGUGGUUUAAUUUGAUGCAACGCGAAGAACCUUACCAGGGCUUGACAUCCUGCGAACCUUUAAGAAAUUAGAGGGUGCCUUCGGGAACGCAGUGACAGGUGGUGCAUGGCUGUCGUCAGCUCGUGUCGUGAGAUGCUGGGUUAAGUCCCGCAACGAGCGCAACCCACGUUUUUAGUUGCCAGCAUUUAGUUGGGCACUCUAGAAAGACCGCCGGUGAUAAACCGGAGGAAGGUGUGGAUGACGUCAAGUCAUCAUGCCCCUUACGUCCUGGGCUACACACGUACUACAAUGCUACGGACAAAGGGCAGCAAACUCGCGAGAGCUAGCAAAUCCCAUAAACCGUGGCUCAGUUCAGAUCGUAGGCUGCAACUCGCCUACGUGAAGUAGGAAUCGCUAGUAAUCGCAGGUCAGCAUACUGCGGUGAAUACGUUCCCGGGCCUUGUACACACCGCCCGUCACACCAUGGAAGUUGGCCACGCCCGAAGUCGUUACUUUAACCCUUGUGGAGAAGGACGCCGAAGGUGGGGCUGAUGACUGGGGUGAAGUCGUAACAAGGUAACC
RNAcentral lists this ribosomal RNA (1445 nucleotides) under uncultured marine cyanobacterium. RNAcentral's name for it is "bacterial SSU rRNA". It matches the Rfam family "Bacterial small subunit ribosomal RNA". The record is from RNAcentral. Lineage: Bacteria; Bacillati; Cyanobacteriota.